This is a long non-coding RNA of Cinclus cinclus, 458 nucleotides long. RefSeq lists it as uncharacterized. NCBI's taxonomy places the organism in Eukaryota, Metazoa, Chordata, Aves, Passeriformes, Cinclidae. The transcript has 3 exons. The record is from RefSeq and is a predicted model, not a curated record.
CUUCCUACCAGGGCAGGAGUUUCAAUUUCAAGUGCUAGGUUUCCUCCUGUAAUUCCACACUUUUCAUUGUCUCAGCAAUGUGGAAGAUCAGACAGCUGAUGCUGAGCUGGGCAGUGCCCCAGACCUGCUGGCCCUGGUACAGUGGGAGCCGUGGGAGAGAUAAACUCAAGGCAAGAACAGAAGUGAAGAUAUCAUGUCUGGUCACUCUAACUGAUGAGAGAAGAUGUAACAAGGACAUUGCUGGUGCAAGAGAAUUUGCCAGAUGACUUCCUGGGGUGACUCAGCCUGCAGGCUGGCUGGCUUACCUGUCACUGCCCCUGUCCUGCACAUGUGAACGUGAGUCAAGGCAGGAUGUGGGUGGAGAUGGAAGCACAGCCCAAUUAUAGAAUGAAGAAUGAAGGUGGGAAUGCAUGAAAUAAAUAUUGGUAGAGUGCAAACUCUGGCUUUCUUCCUAAAAU